UACAGCAACCACACACGGCAUAGUGACUUCUGCUAGCGGGGGCAGCCCAAUGACGUCACCGGCGCGUCGGAGCAGUUCCCGCAGCACGAACACCGGGACAGCGGAAUUCACUCAGAACCAAUCCAGGUGGCAAGUGACGACUCUGGGGAUGAGCCAGAGAGGCAAGCCAGUGAGGUGACAGUGGUGCACACCGAGAAAGAAGCAAACAGUGUGGCAGUGGAGGGAGCCAUUCCUAAAGGUGACAGCGGAGGUGCUAAGAGAAAACCAUGGACCCCAGCGGAAGUCAGAGCCGUUGAAAGACACAUGAUGCGGUUCAUCCACUCCUACAAGGUUCCGGGCAAGAAGGAUUGUGAUGCGUGCCUACGGGCUGAAACCCAAGCACUGAAGGCUCGGAACUGGCUUUCAAUUAAAUUCUACAUAA
Long non-coding RNA from Pseudophryne corroboree (corroboree frog), 421 nucleotides. RefSeq lists it as uncharacterized. The record is from RefSeq and is a predicted model, not a curated record. NCBI's taxonomy places the organism in Eukaryota, Metazoa, Chordata, Amphibia, Anura, Myobatrachidae. The transcript is spliced from 3 exons.